GGACUGCGAACUAGCAGAGCUACUAAUUAUCCUUUGAAGGCCGAUACACUCUCUCAUUUUGUCAGGUGUGCUAUUUUUAGGGUGUUUAGUCUCUGGGAUGGAAUUGGAAGAAGGUGUUGUUGCCUGCUUUGACAUACCGGCACCUUCGACAUCUGAAUCUGCUCUUUCUUUAUGUUGAUUAACAAGCUUCUCACCAGUUUCUUGUGUCAGGCCAUUUGACAAUUUUCUACAUGUUUCAGCCUGAGAUAUUGACAAUAUUUCUUAGCCUACACAGUACUAGCUUUAGUAUGAAACAGAAACAAAUUCAUACGUUGUUAACAGAUAAGUUUUGGAAUUUCACUUUCUACAGGAUCUUAACGUGUGUUAUGUAUUUUCAGAAAUUAUUUAAGUUAUUUUGCUCUUUGUGUGGGUAGUGUGACACCAGAAAACUGGAAAUUACUUAAUAGAAGAUCCAUGUUAUGAACAAACUUCUCCAUUCAAAUUUCCAACCUUGAAGGCUAAUUAAUCAAAGUUAAUUCCUGACACCAAAAACUGAAACCCAUUAUGAGAACAUACAUGUUUGUAAUAGCAAAUAGAUUUGUCACUCAUUAAUUACCAAACCAAGUAAUUAAGUUACCUGGAGUUUCAGAUAGAG
Molecule: long non-coding RNA, 634 nt
Filed under: Citrus sinensis (sweet orange)
Lineage: Eukaryota; Viridiplantae; Streptophyta; Magnoliopsida; Sapindales; Rutaceae
Description: long non-coding RNA (CSIN_LNC000751)
Source: RNAcentral